Molecule: RNA transcript, 2223 nt
Organism: Quercus lobata
Lineage: Eukaryota; Viridiplantae; Streptophyta; Magnoliopsida; Fagales; Fagaceae
Gene name: cytochrome c biogenesis protein CCS1, chloroplastic-like
Exons: 10
Source: RefSeq, a predicted model, not a curated record
CGAGAUAUACAAAAUAUCUGGUUUUGGAUAAAGUAACAGACAGCUAUGGUUGUUACACUUCACUUCAAACCUCAGUUCCGAAACUGAGAGACCACAAGUUCCAUAAUUUCUAACAAUGGUGGCUCUAACUCUGAGUCCCACAAAAACCCUUUUCCUCAAUUCCCAUCUUCUUCACUCCACUUUCAAACCCCAUUUCAUUAAUCCAUACAGUACCAAAACUCACAGUCUCCACAGUUCGAGGUUUCUCUCAUUCAACUUAGUUACUUGCAAGCUGAAGUCACCUCAAGAUAUCAAGAACAAGGACAAGGACAUAUCCAAGAAGAUUGUGUUGUCAGAGGCAGCACCGUCCCUGGCGGAGAAAGGUGGUGAUGGUGGUGGUGGUGGUGAAGGCAAUGGAAAUGGGGAGGUUAAAGCAAAGUCAGGAGGUAAUUUGAUGAGGUUGGUGAAGAGGUUCCCCAGAAAGGUUCUGGGGGUUUUGUCUAAUCUGCCUUUGGCUAUUGGAGAAAUGUUCGCUGUUGCUGCUCUAAUGGCCCUUGGUACUUUCAUUGAUCAAGGUGAAGCUCCAGACUUCUAUUUUCAAAAGUACCCUGAAGACAAUCCUGUAUUGGGAUUUUUCACUUGGAGAUGGGUUCUCACCCUUGGGUUUGACCACAUGUACUCAUCUCCCGUUUUUCUUGGAACAUUAGUUCUCCUGGGUGCAUCGCUCGUGGCCUGCACUUACACAACACAGAUACCCCUGGUUAAGGUCGCAAGAAGAUGGAAUUUCUUAGACUCUUCUGAGGCUAUCCGCAAGCAGGAAUAUUCAGACACUUUACCUAGAGCAUCAGUUCAAGAUUUAGGUGUUCUUCUGAUGGGAGCGGGAUAUGAGGUAUUCCUGAAAGGACCAUCUUUAUAUGCCUUUAAGGGGCUUGCUGGUCGGUUUGCCCCUAUUGGAGUACAUUUAGCAAUGCUUCUCAUAAUGGCCGGUGGAACUCUUAGUGCAGCUGGGAGCUUCAGAGGUUCAGUCACAGUUCCACAGGGAUUGAAUUUUGUUGUUGGAGAUGUAUUAGGCCCGACUGGGUUUCUCUCUACUCCCACUGAUGCUUUCAAUACUGAGGUUCAUAUUAACAGAUUCUACAUGGAUUACUAUGACAGUGGAGAGGUGUCCCAGUUUUACACUGAUCUUUCGCUCUUUGACCUUGAUGGGAAGGAGAUAAUGAGGAAAACAAUUAGCGUAAAUGAUCCUUUAAGGUAUGGUGGAAUCACUAUAUACCAGACAGAUUGGAGUUUUUCAGCACUGCAAAUACUUAAGGAUGAUGAAGGACCUUUUAAUCUGGCAAUGGCACCCAUAAAGAUCAAUGGAGACAAGAAGCUUUUUGGGACUUUCUUACCAGUUGGAGAUGCCGAAUCGCCUAAUGUAAAAGGAAUAUCAAUGCUUGCUCGUGAUCUACAAUCAAUUGUCAUAUAUGAUCUGGAAGGAAAAUUUUCUGGAGUUCGACGGCCUGGCUCUAAGCUCCCGAUUGACAUAGAUGGUUCAAGAAUUGUUAUCGUAGAUGCAAUAGGCAGCAGUGGCCUUGACCUGAAGACUGAUCCUGGGGUGCCAAUUGUUUAUGCUGGAUUUGGUGCUCUAAUGCUCACAACUUGCAUCAGUUUUCUAUCUCAUUCACGGAUUUGGGCCUUACAAGAUGGAACUAUGGUUGUCGUUGGAGGAAAAACUAAUCGAGCAAAGGCUGAAUUUCCAGAGGAGAUGGACCGCUUGCUUGAUCGAGUUCCAGAAAUAGUCGAAUCAUCUCGUUCCAAGGAACCUGAUAAUGUUAGUGGCUAGUUUAUGAGGCAUUUUAGAUGGAAAGAGAGAACACUUGUAGUGGGUUGAUAGAUGCAAUUUUAAACUUUGAAGUAAAGCAGAGAGGUGGCUUGAAUACAAUCAGACAUCCAGCUCUCUAAUUAAGGGCACCGCUCCAUCCCAAUUGAACUAAACUUUGGCACAGAAGAUGGUUGAUAAAUUUCUUUCCUCAUUUUAAGUACUCAUGAUAUUGGAGUCAAACAUAUAUUUUCUAGUAUUUGAGAAGUUGUGGACUAAAAAUAGACGUGUACAAGCCCAUUGUAUGAUCUAGUCAAGCCCAAAGUAUGUUGUAUUAUCCUUAUUCAGGUUUUUUCUACUAAGAAAUAAGAAUCCUAAUGUUACUUGUAUUAAAAAACCUAAUCCAUUUUUGCAGUGCAAGUAAUAAGUCCAUUAAACCAAAU